Molecule: long non-coding RNA, 214 nt
Filed under: Homo sapiens (human)
Lineage: Eukaryota; Metazoa; Chordata; Mammalia; Primates; Hominidae
Description: non-protein coding lnc-RFX2-1:11
Source: RNAcentral
GAAGAAAGACUUCUCGACGCCGAGACACUGCUGGUGGUACUCGAUAUCACGUGGAUGGCAGGAGCAGUGGCAAAGGACUUUCAACUGACAGACAAGCAUGAGAUGGUGGUCAGCUACCUCCCACUCAGCCAUAUUGCAGCACAGAUGAUGGACAUCUGGGUACCCAUAAAGAUUGGGGCGCUCACAUACUUUGCUCAAGCAGAUGCUCUCAAGG